Gallus gallus (chicken) is the source of this 1723-nucleotide long non-coding RNA. The record is from Ensembl. Lineage: Eukaryota; Metazoa; Chordata; Aves; Galliformes; Phasianidae.
AUCAGAUUGAUUCAAAACUGCUGGAGUGCAGGAGGGAAGGCAGCCUAUGAAGUAGUACUGUAAAACCAAAGAACCACUGAAUCAUGAGCCAGCAGAACUAUUUUCCAGAGCUUUAAAUAUUUCAUCUUCUUGCCUGGAUACUGGAUUUUCAAAUAAUAGACUAAGCAGCUGAUGAAGUUUACCUAUUCUUGAUUUCUACAUUCUUGAUCCAUAGGACCACUUUGAUAGGAGACUGCAUAUUUCCAGAAGACCUGCAGGGCCUUGCCAGCAGAUAAGAGUGAACAUGGAGGCGCCGACUUGUAUCUUGCCUUCACAGGAUGCAAUGGUACCAUCCCUGAAUCUCCCAUAGCAAGCUGGAGUUACUUGGUCACAGGCCAGAUCUUCCACCAGUAAACAGUCCUGAGCACCCUCUUCCGAAGGCAAACAGCUCCAAAGAAAUGCUAUCAAAUGUAAAAUUGUCCAUACAGUGAUGUUGAUUGCCACACAGAAACACCCACCUCUCAUCUCCUAGAUAAGUCAGUCUUAUCACAGGAAAUGCCUCAGAAAGCAAGCUUUGAGCCAAAAACAAAGGAUUCAUACACAGGACAGAUAAGAAAAUAUGAUGAAAAACCAUGUGGGUCAAAAUAAAGACAUGGAGAUCACCUACCAAUUACUGUCAGAAGCAAAAAAAGACUAGACUACUGGAAGAUUAAUGCAAGUUAUUGCCAAUUAAAAUAGAAUAGGACAGUGAAAAAUAAAGUGAGAAACAAAACUUGAAACACUUCCUACCCACCUCUACCCUCUCUCUACUUCACUCCUUCAUUCCCAGUUUCUCUCUCCCAAUCUUACUGUGUGGCACAAAGGGAUGGGGAAGAAGGGAUUAUAGUCAAAAAACCAUAAUGAUUUAUCUCUGCCUCUCAUUCCUCCUCACAUUUUUCCUCAGCAUGAGCCACAGAUCAUUCAGGAAAUAUCUACCUGACUGACUGCGGCCCACUUCAAUCUGCUCUAGUGUGGGGUCCUCCAAGACCUGCAGUGUGAAUAUUUGCUCUGGCAUGGUCCUCUCUACAGGUUACAAGAUAGCUUCUCCAGGAUAGCUUCCCCACCAUGGACAUCUCCACAGGCUGCAAAAGAACAUCUGCCCCUGCAACACGUCUUCCACUCCUUCUUCAUUGACCUUGGUGUCUGCAGGGUUGUUUCUCAUCUGUGUUUUUUAAUUCCCUCUUCACUGCAUGAAACAUUAUACUCUUUCUUACAUACAUCUUCCUCAAGGUGCUGCCUUCUUGGCUUCUGGGCCUAGUCACACCCUUCAGUGGGGCCAUUGGAGUCCUGCGGCACAGCCCCAGAUUUGCCUUACAAGGGAGUCUUGCAGCCUUUGUCACCAGCACCUGUAGCCUGUACAACUCUACAACGUCUAGCAUUACUUUAAAAAAAUCUUCCUCUCCUUGGUGUAUCUUGGCUCAAAUAACAUGCAUGGUAAUAUUUUCAUACUGCUUUUUGCCUCUGGUAAUUCUUUGGUUUUACUUAGUUAAGGCAAACAUAUUUAGUGUUUUGAAAUGUCCUUUUAUGACAGGGAAAGUUCCUUUCCUUGUUCUUGCAACACACUCGUUGUUAUUGUACUUAUAACUAUAAGUGAAAUAAUGGAAAUCCUUAAAUGUGCAACUUGAUAUGUUAUUGUUUAUCUUUAUUAUCUUCUGUUUAUAAUUCCUCAGUUCUCGGCCUACAAUAAAUCAUUUCUAUUGAUCUC